CUGAUUCAAUUCACUAUUGGCAACUAGUAUGUAGCCUUAACUAUCACAAUUUCACGCCUACCCAGAAAUUUAUAAUAUACAGAAUCUUUUGAUUCAAUGAAUAGCGUCAAGGUCUCAUCGCUGUUCGUCAUCCUGAUAGGCAUCGAAGUCUACUCCAAAGGUACGCCCGGCCGCCAUAUACUUUAUCACACCAGGUUACCGUCAACCUUUUCCACAUAUGGAAAGAUGCAGCUGAAGGUAAGUCUAAGGAGGUGGGCAGUAGACGGAGAGGGAUUGAAUUGUGAAACCAGUAAAGGAAGAAAACAAGCUUACCAUGGCGAUCAAUGGCCGCACGGCGGCGGAGGGCGGCGGAGAGGGAAAGAGGGCCGAGGGGAGAGAAAC
Molecule: long non-coding RNA, 381 nt
Filed under: Spirodela polyrhiza (greater duckweed)
Lineage: Eukaryota; Viridiplantae; Streptophyta; Magnoliopsida; Alismatales; Araceae
Description: long non-coding RNA (SPOL_LNC001842)
Source: RNAcentral